CGGCGAGCGAAGCGGGAAGAGCUCAAAUUUAUAAUCUGGCACCUUCGGUGUCCGAGUUGUAAUCUCUAGAAGUGUUUUCCGCGUUGGACCGCACACAAGUCUGUUGGAAUACAGCGGCAUAGUGGUGAAACCCCCGUAUAUGGUGCGGACGCCCAGCGCUUUGUGAUACACUUUCAAUGAGUCGAGUUGUUUGGGAAUGCAGCUCAAAUUGGGUGGUAAAUUCCAUCUAAAGCUAAAUAUUGGCGAGAGACCGAUAGCGAACAAGUACCGUGAGGGAAAGAUGAAAAGCACUUUGGAAAGAGAGUUAACAGUACGUGAAAUUGUUGGAAGGGAAACGCUUGAAGUCAGACUUGCUUGCCGGAGCUUGCUUCGGUUUGCAGGCCAGCAUCAGUUUUCCGGGGUGGAUAAUGACGGUUUGAAGGUAGCAGUCUCGGCUGUGUUAUAGCUUUCCGUUGGAUACAUCCUGGGGGACUGAGGAACGCAGCGUGCUUUUUGCGAAAGACUCGUCUUUUUCACGCUUAGGAUGCUGGUGGAAUGGCUUUAAUCGAUCCG
RNAcentral lists this ribosomal RNA (552 nucleotides) under Rhodotorula graminis. Its description in RNAcentral is "partial large subunit ribosomal RNA". It matches the Rfam family "Eukaryotic large subunit ribosomal RNA", at positions 87 to 651 of the family's 3401-position model. Lineage: Eukaryota; Fungi; Basidiomycota; Microbotryomycetes; Sporidiobolales; Sporidiobolaceae. The record is from RNAcentral.